This is a ribosomal RNA of Danio rerio (zebrafish), 119 nucleotides long. NCBI's taxonomy places the organism in Eukaryota, Metazoa, Chordata, Actinopteri, Cypriniformes, Danionidae. The record is from Ensembl.
UUAGACACAGCCAUAUCAUUCUGCAGCCCAAUACUGGUUACUCACUGGAGCUAAACAAGGCUGAGUCCGGUCAGUACCUAGAUGGGAGACCACAUGGGAAAACUAUGUUGCUGUCGGAA